UCGAGAAUUUUUCACAAUGGGCGCAAGCCUGAUGGAGCGACGCCGCGUGGGGGAUGAAUGGCUUCGGCCCGUAAACCCCUGUCAUUUGCGAUCAAACCUUGCUAUUUAAAAGAUGGCGAGCUGAUAGUAGCGAAAGAGGAAGGGACGGCUAACUCUGUGCCAGCAGCCGCGGUAAUACAGAGGUCCCAAGCGUUGUUCGGAUUCACUGGGCGUAAAGGGUGCGUAGGUGGUGGGGUAAGGCGGAUGUGAAAUCUCGGAGCUCAACUCCGAAAUGGCAUUGGAAACUACCCUGCUAGAGGGUCGGAGGGGGGACUGGAAUUCUCGGUGUAGCAGUGAAAUGCGUAGAUAUCGAGAGGAACACCAGUGGCGAAGGCGAGUCCCUGGACGACUCCUGACACUGAGGCACGAAAGCUAGGGGAGCAAACA
This 426-nucleotide ribosomal RNA is filed under the name uncultured bacterium. RNAcentral's name for it is "bacterial SSU rRNA". It matches the Rfam family "Bacterial small subunit ribosomal RNA", at positions 355 to 774 of the family's 1533-position model. The record is from RNAcentral.